GAUGAACGCUGGCGGCGUGCCUAAUACAUGCAAGUCGAGCGAACAGAUAAGGAGCUUGCUCCUUUGACGUUAGCGGCGGACGGGUGAGUAACACGUGGGUAACCUACCUAUAAGACUGGAAUAACUCCGGGAAACCGGGUCUAAUGCCGGAUCACAUUUAGAACCGCAUGGUUCUAAAGUGAAAGAUGGUUUUGCUAUCACUUCUAGAUGGACCCGCGCCGUAUUAGCUAGUUGGUAAGGUAACGGCUUACCAAGGCAACGAUACGUAGCCGAACUGAGAGGGUGAUCGGCCACACUGGAACUGGGACACGGUCCAGACUCCUACGGGAGGCAGCAGUAGGGAAUCUUCCGCAAUGGGCGAAAGCCUGACGGAGCAACGCCGCGUGAGUGAUGAAGGUCUUCGGAUCGUAAAACUCUGUUAGUAGGGAAGAACAAAUGUGUAAGUAACUGUGCACGUCUUGACGGUACCUAAUCAGAAAGCCACGGCUAACUACGUG
Molecule: ribosomal RNA, 497 nt
Filed under: uncultured bacterium
Lineage: Bacteria
Description: partial 16S ribosomal RNA
Rfam family: Bacterial small subunit ribosomal RNA
Source: RNAcentral